GCACGUACAAAGGGCUGCCCAGGGAGACCGGUCACGUGUGAAUUGUAAGCAAGGGGGCAGGUAUGCUCAGCACCGAGCACGCUGUCACAGCCCCGCCAUGCCCCACGCUGAAAUAGGUGGAAGGUCAAGAUUAAGUCUUGCAGAGGGGAUCUUCGCACUGCACUGCUCCCAUCGGAAACAUGACCAAGAGGUGACAGCACGGCUGCUGUAGGUCCCACGCUGCCCGGAGGAGGAAAUGAACUUGGACACCUGCCUGGCACACAGCAGUGCUUCCAGCAAAUCUGCCCAGCGCCCACGCGAGGGCAUGGAUGUGUCGCGCUUCCAGGGUCGUACCCUAAUGGGGUCCUGGCCGCCGGUGCCCU
This is a long non-coding RNA of Zalophus californianus (California sea lion), 362 nucleotides long. RefSeq lists it as uncharacterized. The record is from RefSeq and is a predicted model, not a curated record. The transcript is spliced from 3 exons. Lineage: Eukaryota; Metazoa; Chordata; Mammalia; Carnivora; Otariidae.